RNAcentral lists this ribosomal RNA (464 nucleotides) under uncultured bacterium. Its description in RNAcentral is "partial 16S ribosomal RNA". It matches the Rfam family "Bacterial small subunit ribosomal RNA", at positions 29 to 507 of the family's 1533-position model. The record is from RNAcentral.
ACGAACGCUGGCGGCUUGCUUAACACAUGCCGGUCGAACGGAAAGGCCCUGCUUGCCGGGUACUCGAGUGGCGAACGGGUGAGUAACACGUGGGUGAUCUGCCCUGCACUUCGGGAUAAGCCUGGGAAACUGGGUCUAAUACCGGAUAGGAGCCAUUUUUAGUGUGAUGGUUGGAAAGUUUUUUCGGUGUAGGAUGAGCUCGCGGCCUAUCAGCUUGUUGGUGGGGUAAUGGCCUACCAAGGCGGCGACGGGUAGCCGGCCUGAGAGGGUGGACGGCCACAUUGGGACUGAGAUACGGCCCAGACUCCUACGGGAGGCAGCAGUGGGGAAUAUUGCACAAUGGGCGCAAGCCGGAUGCAGCGACGCCGCGUGGGGGAUGACGGCCUUCGGGUUGUAAACUCCUUUCGCUAGGGACGAAGCUUUUUGUGACGGUACCUAGAUAAGAAGCACCGGCUAACUACGUG